CCUACGGGAGGCAGCAGUGAGGAAUAUUGGUCAAUGGGCUUACGCCUGAACCAGCCAAGUCGCGUGAGGGAAGACUGCCCUAUGGGUUGUAAACCUCUUUUGUCAGGGAGCAACGCCGGCUACGUGUAGCCGGACUGAGAGUACCUGAAGAAAAAGCAUCGGCUACCUCCGUGCCAGCAGCCGCGGUAAUACGGAGGAUGCGAGCGUUAUCCGGAUUUAUUGGGUUUAAAGGGUGCGUAGGCGGAAUGCCAAGUCAGCGGUAAAAUCGCGGGGCUCAACCUCGCUCCGCCGUUGAAACUGGCGGUCUUGAGUGGGCGAGAAGUAGGCGGAAUGCGUGGUGUAGCGGUGAAAUGCAUAGAUAUCACGCAGAACUCCGAUUGCGAAGGCAGCAUACCGGCGCCCAACUGACGCUGAAGCACGAAAGCGUGGGUAUCGAACAGGAUUAGAUACCCCAGUAGUC
RNAcentral lists this ribosomal RNA (460 nucleotides) under uncultured bacterium. Its description in RNAcentral is "partial 16S ribosomal RNA". It matches the Rfam family "Bacterial small subunit ribosomal RNA", at positions 338 to 795 of the family's 1533-position model. The record is from RNAcentral.